GUGGUUCUGAUUUGCAUAUUGCACCACAUGUGUUUUUCUUUGAAACAAACUUGCUUUGGCGGUGGGCCCAGCCUGCCGCCAGAGGUCUAAACUUACAACCAAUUUUUUAUCAACUUGUCACACCAGAUUAUUACUUAAUAGUCAAAACUUUCAACAACGGAUCUCUUGGUUCUCGCAUCGAUGAAGAACGCAGCGAAAUGCGAUACGUAAUAUGAAUUGCAGAUAUUCGUGAAUCAUCGAAUCUUUGAACGCACAUUGCGCCCUCUGGUAUUCCGGAGGGCAUGCCUGUUUGAGCGUCGUUUCUCCCUCAAACCGCUGGGUUUGGUGUUGAGCAAUACGACUUGGGUUUGCUUGAAAGACGGUAGUGGUAAGGCGGGAUCGCUUUGACAAUGGCUUAGGUCUAACCAAAAACAUUGCUUGCGGCGGUAACGUCUACCACGUAUAUCUUCAAACUUUGACCUCAAAUCAGGUAGGACUACCCGCUGAACUUAAGCAUAUCAAUAACCGGAGAAA
Molecule: ribosomal RNA, 513 nt
Filed under: Candida albicans
Lineage: Eukaryota; Fungi; Ascomycota; Pichiomycetes; Serinales; Debaryomycetaceae
Description: eukaryotic LSU rRNA
Rfam family: 5.8S ribosomal RNA (bases 146-299)
Source: RNAcentral